RNAcentral lists this ribosomal RNA (649 nucleotides) under uncultured bacterium. RNAcentral describes it as "bacterial SSU rRNA". It matches the Rfam family "Bacterial small subunit ribosomal RNA", at positions 8 to 694 of the family's 1533-position model. The record is from RNAcentral.
AGAGUUUGAUCCUGGCUCAGGAUGAACGCUAGCGGUAUGCCUAACACAUGCAAGUCGUACGAGAGUUUUUAACUCUAGUGGCGGACGGGUGAGUAACACGUGAGAAUUUGCCUUUAGGAGGGGGAUAACAAUUGGAAACGAAUGCUAAUACCCCAUAUGCUUUCGAGUGAAAUGAAUUUUUUAUUUGCCUAAAGAGAAGCUCGCGGCUGAUUAGCUUGUUGGUAAGGUAAGAGCUUACCAAGGCGACGAUCAGUAUCUGGUUUGAGAGGACGAUCAGACACACUGGAACUGAGACACGGUCCAGACUCCUACGGGAGGCAGCAGUGGGGAAUUUUCCGCAAUGGGCGAAAGCCUGACGGAGCAAUACCGCGUGAGGGAAGAAUGCCUAUGGGUUGUAAACCUCUUUUUUCAGGGAGGAAUAAAUGACGUGUACCUGAAGAAUAAGCAUCGGCUAACUCCGUGCCAGCAGCCGCGGUAAGACGGAGGAUGCAAGUGUUAUCCGGAAUCACUGGGCGUAAAGCGUCUGUAGGUGGUUUAAUAAGUCAACUGUUAAAUCUUGAGGCUCAACUUCAAAAUCGCAGCUGAAACUAUUAGACUAGAGUAUAGUAGAGGUAAAGGGAAUUUCCAGUGUAGCGGUGAAAUGCGUAGA